Molecule: ribosomal RNA, 433 nt
Filed under: uncultured bacterium
Lineage: Bacteria
Description: partial 16S ribosomal RNA
Rfam family: Bacterial small subunit ribosomal RNA
Source: RNAcentral
AACGAACGCUGGCGGCAUGCCUAACACAUGCAAGUCGAACGAGACCUUCGGGUCUAGUGGCGCACGGGUGCGUAACGCGUGGGAACCUGCCCUUAGGUUCGGAAUAACUCCCCGACAGGGGUGCUAAUACCGGAUAAUGUCUUCGGACCAAAGAUUUAUCGCCUUUGGAUGGGCCCGCGUUGGAUUAGCUAGUUGGUAGGGUAAAAGCCUACCAAGGCGACGAUCCAUAGCUGGUCUGUGAGGAUGAUCAGCCACACUUGGACUGAGACACGGCCCGGACUCCUACGGGAGGCAGCAGUGGGGGAUAUUGGACAGUGGGCGAAAGCCUGAUCCAGCAAUGCCGCGUGAGUGAUGAAGGCCUUAGGGUUGUAAAGCUCUUUUACCCGGGAUGAUAAUGACAGUACCGGGAGAAUAAGCUCCGGCUAACUCCGUG